GGUUAAGCGACUAAGCGUACACGGUGGAUGCCCUGGCAGUCAGAGGCGAUGAAGGACGUGCUAAUCUGCGAUAAGCGUCGGUAAGGUGAUAUGAACCGUUAUAACCGGCGAUUUCCGAAUGGGGAAACCCAGUGUGAUUCGUCACACUAUCAUUAACUGAAUCCAUAGGUUAAUGAGGCGAACCGGGGGAACUGAAACAUCUAAGUACCCCGAGGAAAAGAAAUCAACCGAGAUUCCCCCAGUAGCGGCGAGCGAACGGGGAGGAGCCCAGAGCCUGAAUCAGUGUGUGUGUUAGUGGAAGCGUCUGGAAAGGCGCGCGAUACAGGGUGACAGCCCCGUACACAAAAAUGCACAUGCUGUGAGCUCGAUGAGUAGGGCGGGACACGUGGUAUCCUGUCUGAAUAUGGGGGGACCAUCCUCCAAGGCUAAAUACUCCUGACUGACCGAUAGUGAACCAGUACCGUGAGGGAAAGGCGAAAAGAACCCCGGCGAGGGGAGUGAAAAAGAACCUGAAACCGUGUACGUACAAGCAGUGGGAGCCUCUUUAUGGGGUGACUGCGUACCUUUUGUAUAAUGGGUCAGCGACUUAUAUUCUGUAGCAAGGUUAACCGAAUAGGGGAGCCGAAGGGAAACCGAGUCUUAACUGGGCGUUAAGUUGCAGGGUAUAGACCCGAAACCCGGUGAUCUAGCCAUGGGCAGGUUGAAGGUUGGGUAACACUAACUGGAGGACCGAACCGACUAAUGUUGAAAAAUUAGCGGAUGACUUGUGGCUGGGGGUGAAAGGCCAAUCAAACCGGGAGAUAGCUGGUUCUCCCCGAAAGCUAUUUAGGUAGCGCCUCGUGAACUCAUCUCCGGGGGUAGAGCACUGUUUCGGCAAGGGGGUCAUCCCGACUUACCAACCCGAUGCAAACUGCGAAUACCGGAGAAUGUUAUCACGGGAGACACACGGCGGGUGCUAACGUCCGUCGUGAAGAGGGAAACAACCCAGACCGCCAGCUAAGGUCCCAAAGUCAUGGUUAAGUGGGAAACGAUGUGGGAAGGCCCAGACAGCCAGGAUGUUGGCUUAGAAGCAGCCAUCAUUUAAAGAAAGCGUAAUAGCUCACUGGUCGAGUCGGCCUGCGCGGAAGAUGUAACGGGGCUAAACCAUGCACCGAAGCUGCGGCAGCGACGCUUAUGCGUUGUUGGGUAGGGGAGCGUUCUGUAAGCCUGUGAAGGUGUGCUGUGAGGCAUGCUGGAGGUAUCAGAAGUGCGAAUGCUGACAUAAGUAACGAUAAAGCGGGUGAAAAGCCCGCUCGCCGGAAGACCAAGGGUUCCUGUCCAACGUUAAUCGGGGCAGGGUGAGUCGACCCCUAAGGCGAGGCCGAAAGGCGUAGUCGAUGGGAAACAGGUUAAUAUUCCUGUACUUGGUGUUACUGCGAAGGGGGGACGGAGAAGGCUAUGUUGGCCGGGCGACGGUUGUCCCGGUUUAAGCGUGUAGGCUGGUUUUCCAGGCAAAUCCGGAAAAUCAAGGCUGAGGCGUGAUGACGAGGCACUACGGUGCUGAAGCAACAAAUGCCCUGCUUCCAGGAAAAGCCUCUAAGCAUCAGGUAACAUCAAAUCGUACCCCAAACCGACACAGGUGGUCAGGUAGAGAAUACCAAGGCGCUUGAGAGAACUCGGGUGAAGGAACUAGGCAAAAUGGUGCCGUAACUUCGGGAGAAGGCACGCUGAUAUGUAGGUGAAGUCCCUCGCGGAUGGAGCUGAAAUCAGUCGAAGAUACCAGCUGGCUGCAACUGUUUAUUAAAAACACAGCACUGUGCAAACACGAAAGUGGACGUAUACGGUGUGACGCCUGCCCGGUGCCGGAAGGUUAAUUGAUGGGGUCAGCGCAAGCGAAGCUCUUGAUCGAAGCCCCGGUAAACGGCGGCCGUAACUAUAACGGUCCUAAGGUAGCGAAAUUCCUUGUCGGGUAAGUUCCGACCUGCACGAAUGGCGUAAUGAUGGCCAGGCUGUCUCCACCCGAGACUCAGUGAAAUUGAACUCGCUGUGAAGAUGCAGUGUACCCGCGGCAAGACGGAAAGACCCCGUGAACCUUUACUAUAGCUUGACACUGAACAUUGAGCCUUGAUGUGUAGGAUAGGUGGGAGGCUUAGAAGUGUGGACGCCAGUCUGCAUGGAGCCGACCUUGAAAUACCACCCUUUAAUGUUUGAUGUUCUAACGUUGACCCGUAAUCCGGGUUGCGGACAGUGUCUGGUGGGUAGUUUGACUGGGGCGGUCUCCUCCUAAAGAGUAACGGAGGAGCACGAAGGUUGGCUAAUCCUGGUCGGACAUCAGGAGGUUAGUGCAAUGGCAUAAGCCAGCUUGACUGCGAGCGUGACGGCGCGAGCAGGUGCGAAAGCAGGUCAUAGUGAUCCGGUGGUUCUGAAUGGAAGGGCCAUCGCUCAACGGAUAAAAGGUACUCCGGGGAUAACAGGCUGAUACCGCCCAAGAGUUCAUAUCGACGGCGGUGUUUGGCACCUCGAUGUCGGCUCAUCACAUCCUGGGGCUGAAGUAGGUCCCAAGGGUAUGGCUGUUCGCCAUUUAAAGUGGUACGCGAGCUGGGUUUAGAACGUCGUGAGACAGUUCGGUCCCUAUCUGCCGUGGGCGCUGGAGAACUGAGGGGGGCUGCUCCUAGUACGAGAGGACCGGAGUGGACGCAUCACUGGUGUUCGGGUUGUCAUGCCAAUGGCACUGCCCGGUAGCUAAAUGCGGAAGAGAUAAGUGCUGAAAGCAUCUAAGCACGAAACUUGCCCCGAGAUGAGUUCUCCCUGACUCCUUGAGAGUCCUGAAGGAACGUUGAAGACGACGACGUUGAUAGGCCGGGUGUGUAAGCGCAGCGAUGCGUUGAGCUAACCGGUACUAAUGAACCGUGAGGCUUAACCUU
This 2903-nucleotide ribosomal RNA is filed under the name Escherichia coli. RNAcentral describes it as "23S ribosomal RNA". It matches the Rfam family "Bacterial large subunit ribosomal RNA". RNAcentral also lists the same sequence under 1 other name. Lineage: Bacteria; Pseudomonadati; Pseudomonadota; Gammaproteobacteria; Enterobacterales; Enterobacteriaceae. The record is from RNAcentral.